This 424-nucleotide ribosomal RNA is filed under the name uncultured Alistipes sp. RNAcentral describes it as "bacterial SSU rRNA". It matches the Rfam family "Bacterial small subunit ribosomal RNA", at positions 338 to 776 of the family's 1533-position model. Lineage: Bacteria; Pseudomonadati; Bacteroidota; Bacteroidia; Bacteroidales; Rikenellaceae. The record is from RNAcentral.
CCUACGGGGGGCAGCAGUGGGGAAUAUUGGACAAUGGACCAAAAGUCUGAUCCAGCAAUUCUGUGUGCACGAUGAAGUUUUUCGGAAUGUAAAGUGCUUUCAGUUGGGAAGAAGUCAGUGACGGUACCAACAGAAGAAGCGACGGCUAAAUACGUGCCAGCAGCCGCGGUAAUACGUAUGUCGCAAGCGUUAUCCGGAUUUAUUGGGCGUAAAGCGCGUCUAGGCGGUUUAGUAAGUCUGAUGUGAAAAUGCGGGGCUCAACCCCGUAUUGCGUUGGAAACUGCUAAACUAGAGUACUGGAGAGGUAGGCGGAACUACAAGUGUAGAGGUGAAAUUCGUAGAUAUUUGUAGGAAUGCCGAUGGCGAAGGCAGCCCCCUGGGGCAAAACUGACGCUCAUGCACGAAAGCGUGGGUAGCAAACAGG